CCUACGGGACGCACCAGUGGGGAAUAUUGCACAAUGGGCGCAAGCCUGAUGCAGCCAUGCCGCGUGUAUGAAGAAGGCCUUCGGGUUGUAAAGUACUUUCAGCGAGGAGGAAGGCAUUAAGGUUAAUAACCUUGGUGAUUGACGUUACUCGCAGAAGAAGCACCGGCUAACUCCGUGCCAGCAGCCGCGGUAACACGGAGGGUGCAAGCGUUAAUCGGAAUUACUGGGCGUAAAGCGCACGCAGGCGGUCUGUCAAGUCGGAUGUGAAAUCCCCGGGCUCAACCUGGGAACUGCAUUCGAAACUGGCAGGCUAGAGUCUUGUAGAGGGGGGUAGAAUUCCAGGUGUAGCGGUGAAAUGCGUAGAGAUCUGGAGGAAUACCGGUGGCGAAGGCGGCCCCCUGGACAAAGACUGACGCUCAGGUGCGAAAGCGUGGG
Molecule: ribosomal RNA, 435 nt
Filed under: uncultured bacterium
Lineage: Bacteria
Description: bacterial SSU rRNA
Rfam family: Bacterial small subunit ribosomal RNA
Source: RNAcentral